Molecule: ribosomal RNA, 390 nt
Filed under: uncultured bacterium
Lineage: Bacteria
Description: bacterial SSU rRNA
Rfam family: Bacterial small subunit ribosomal RNA
Source: RNAcentral
GACGAACGCUGGCGGCGUGCUUAACACAUGCAAGUCGAGCGGUAAGGCCCUUUCGGGGGUACACGAGCGGCGAACGGGUGAGUAACACGUGGGUGACCUGCCCUCAGCUCUGGGAUAAGCCUGGGAAACCGGGUCUAAUACCGGAUAUGACUCCAUGACGCAUGUUGUGGGGUGGAAAGCCUUGUGCGGCUGAGGAUGGGCCCGCGGCCUAUCAGCUUGUUGGUGGGGUGAUGGCCUACCAAGGCGACGACGGGUAGCCGGCCUGAGAGGGCGACCGGCCACACUGGGGACUGAGACACGGCCCAGACUCCUACGGGAGGUCAGCAGUGGGGAAUCUUGCGCAAUGGGCGAAAGCCUGACGCAGCGACGCCGCGUGAGGGAUGACGGCCU